Molecule: ribosomal RNA, 253 nt
Filed under: uncultured bacterium
Lineage: Bacteria
Description: partial 16S ribosomal RNA
Rfam family: Bacterial small subunit ribosomal RNA
Source: RNAcentral
UACAGAGGUCUCAAGCGUUGUUCGGAUUCAUUGGGCGUAAAGGGUGCGUAGGUGGCGCUGUAAGUCGGGUGUGAAAUUUCGGAGCUUAACUCCGAAACUGCAUUCGAUACUGCGGUGCUUGAGGACUGGAGAGGAGACUGGAAUUCAUAGUGUAGCAGUGAAAUGCGUAGAGAUCAUGAGGAAGACCAGUGGCGAAGGCGGGUCUCUGGACAGUUCCUGACACUGAGGCACGAAGGCCAGGGGAGCAAACGGG